Penaeus vannamei (Pacific white shrimp) is the source of this 97-nucleotide non-coding RNA. NCBI's taxonomy places the organism in Eukaryota, Metazoa, Arthropoda, Malacostraca, Decapoda, Penaeidae. The record is from RefSeq and is a predicted model, not a curated record.
GACGUGCCUGUGGUGAUGUGAAGUGUCAGUGUUACCCGCUUUGGGAUACGAUCUUGAAUGUCUCCUCCAAGAAAGGAUUAAACCGUGUGCAAGAAUC